CAGCAGCCGCGGUAAUACGUAGGUGGCAAGCGUUGUCCGGAAUUAUUGGGCGUAAAGGGCUCGCAGGCGGUUUCUUAAGUCUGAUGUGAAAGCCCCCGGCUCAACCGGGGAGGGUCAUUGGAAACUGGGAAACUUGAGUGCAGAAGAGGAGAGUGGAAUUCCACGUGUAGCGGUGAAAUGCGUAGAGAUGUGGAGGAACACCAGUGGCGAAGGCGACUCUCUGGUCUGUAACUGACGCUGAGGAGCGAAAGCGUGGGGAGCGAACAGGAUCAGAUACCCCUGUAGUCCCUGUCUCUUAUAC
RNAcentral lists this ribosomal RNA (301 nucleotides) under uncultured bacterium. RNAcentral describes it as "partial 16S ribosomal RNA". It matches the Rfam family "Bacterial small subunit ribosomal RNA", at positions 509 to 807 of the family's 1533-position model. The record is from RNAcentral.